GAUGAACGCUGGCGGCGUGCCUAAUACAUGCAAGUCGAGCGAACAGACGAGGAGCUUGCUCCUCUGACGUUAGCGGCGGACGGGUGAGUAACACGUGGAUAACCUACCUAUAAGACUGGGAUAACUUCGGGAAACCGGAGCUAAUACCGGAUAAUAUAUUGAACCGCAUGGUUCAAUAGUGAAAGACGGUUUUGCUGUCAAUUAUAGAUGGAUCCGCGCCGCAUUAGCUAGUUGGUAAGGUAACGGCUUACCAAGGCAACGAUGCGUAGCCGACCUGAGAGGGUGGGCGGCCACACGGGAACUGAGACACGGUCGAGACUCCUACGGGAGGCAGCAGUAGGGAAUCUUCCGCAAUGGGCGAAAGCUUGACGGAGCAACGCCGCGUGAGUGAUGAAGGUCUUCGGAUCGUAAAACUCUGUUAUUAGGGAAGAACAAAUGUGUAAGUAACUAUGCACGUCUUGACGGUACCUAAUCAGAAAGCCACGGCUAACUACGUG
Molecule: ribosomal RNA, 497 nt
Filed under: uncultured bacterium
Lineage: Bacteria
Description: partial 16S ribosomal RNA
Rfam family: Bacterial small subunit ribosomal RNA
Source: RNAcentral